Molecule: ribosomal RNA, 492 nt
Filed under: uncultured bacterium
Lineage: Bacteria
Description: partial 16S ribosomal RNA
Rfam family: Bacterial small subunit ribosomal RNA
Source: RNAcentral
AGUGAACGCUGGCGGUAGGCCUAACACAUGCAAGUCGAACGGCAGCACAGUAAGAGCUUGCUCUUACGGGUGGCGAGUGGCGGACGGGUGAGGAAUACAUCGGAAUCUACUUUUUCGUGGGGGGUAACGUAGGGAAACUUACGCUAAUACCGCAUACGACCUACGGGUGAAAGCAGGGGAUCUUCGGACCUUGCGCGAUUGAAUGAGCCGAUGUCGGAUUAGCUAGUUGGCGGGGUAAAGGCCCACCAAGGCGACGAUCCGUAGCUGGUCUGAGAGGAUGAUCAGCCACACUGGAAUUGAGACACGGUCAAGACUCCUACGGGAGGGAGAAGUGGGGAAUAUUGGACAAUGGGCGCAAGCCUGAUCCAGCCAUACCGCGUGGGUGAAGAAGGCCUUCGGGUUGUAAAGCCCUUUUGUUGGGAAAGAAAAGCAGCAGGUUAAUACCCCGCUGUUCUGACGGUACCCAAAGAAUAAGCACCGGCUAACUUCGUG